This 508-nucleotide ribosomal RNA is filed under the name uncultured Bacteroidota bacterium. RNAcentral describes it as "bacterial SSU rRNA". It matches the Rfam family "Bacterial small subunit ribosomal RNA", at positions 317 to 822 of the family's 1533-position model. Lineage: Bacteria; Pseudomonadati; Bacteroidota. The record is from RNAcentral.
UACUGAGACACGGACCAGACUCCUACGGGAGGCAGCAGUGAGGAAUAUUGGUCAAUGGGCGCAAGCCUGAACCAGCCAUACCGCGUGCAGGAUGACGGUCCUAUGGAUUGUAAACUGCUUUUGUACAGGAAGAAACAUCUCUACGUGUAGAGACUUGACGGUACUGUAAGAAUAAGGAUCGGCUAACUCCGUGCCAACAGCCGCGGUAAUACGGAGGAUCCAAGCGUUAUCCGGAAUCAUUGGGUUUAAAGGGUCCGUAGGCGGUUUUGUAAGUCAGUGGUGAAAGCCCAUCGCUCAACGGUGGAACGGCCAUUGAUACUGCAAGACUUGAAUUAUUGGGAAGUAACUAGAAUAUGUAGUGUAGCGGUGAAAUGCUUAGAGAUUACAUGGAAUACCAAUUGCGAAGGCAGGUUACUACCAAUAUAUUGACGCUGAUGGACGAAAGCGUGGGGAGCGAACAGGAUUAGAUACCCUGGUAGUCCACGCCGUAAACGAUGGAUACUAGCUG